UGUCCUGACUUGCAGGAAAACCUACUUUGAAUACAGUCCUUCAUGGCGAACACUUUGCUGUGUUUUAUCUCCUGGGGUUUUCCUUUUUCCAUGGCAAGAGAUAGCUGAGCGCAUGAUGAGAGAGGCACCUGAGAGAGGACAGGAAGGAGCUGUAUUUUUAAACAUGACAAGGACACAGGGUUUCCUCCAAACCGUACAGGCUGCUGACAAAGAGCGUAUUGUCCUGGUCUACAGGCCUGCUAGGCCACAGAGGGACGGCAUUGUGGCAUCAGGGCAAGGAGACGAAAGCAGAAACCACUUGAUUUAAGACAGCAUUCCGGAGAAAAAGAGAAAAAGCAGAAAAAAACACACCCUUUGCAAAGUAAGUGAUACAUCUCAGAAAAGACUGUCAGAAUGCCAAGCUAUGUAAUUAUAGGUGUUCCUACUUCAAAACCUAUGCUGCUAUUACAGUUACAUGGCAUAGAACGGGGUUGUUUUUCAAAGCAUUGUUAAAUAUGAAGGGCAAACUGAUAUUAUAAAUCCAUCCUUCUCUCACUCUCUCCCAGACACACACACAUACACACACCUUUAUCAGGAGUUUUCCUCUGUAACCAGAGUGCUUGACAGUGUUUCUCUGGUGAGGAGGCCGGACUUCAGACAGGUUCUGUCGUGAUCAUUAUCAUGGCUGAGAUUUAUUGCUUUUACAGCCUGGAAACAGUCAGGAAGAGAUAGUGUGUGAGACAGAACAAUAAACAGAUGACUAAAUGGCGAUUUCCACUUCCAAAUCAUAAUGGUAUAUGCUAUUUCUGAAAGUUUUUUAUUUCAUUAAUAUGACAGACAAGUCUGGGGAGCUUUCAGUGUUGAUUCAAUUAUAUCAGUAGAGAAAAUGAAGAGGAAUAUUAUGACGUGUUUUUAUUCACAUUCUAACAUUUACAAAUCUGCAUAAGACUUUAUGUACAUUCAGUAGUUGAUGAUGAGGAAGACUUGUGGUCAGUAUUGACUGUUCCUGGACUGGGAAGAUCCGAGCCGACCACUGAAUCUAACAGAGGCUCCGCAGCACAACCUGAGAGCCCUACCAUGCUGUCUCCCUCUGCUCACUCGGAUAAAGUCUGCCGCACAAAAUGGCGUCAUAUACAAAAUUGUAUCUAAUCCAGAAGAAAAGACACAGGACAAUGUACAGUAGAAAAUGAUCUACCUGAAAUGUAACUGACCUAUGUAAGUGAACAUUAGUCAUGAACAAAUAGCUGAUCUCUGAGGCCUUUCUGUCACAUUGUGUCUUCAGUGUCUGCCUACUAGAUUUAUUUGUAUUAUGAAAUAAAGACACAGAAGGGCUGAGCUGUAUGGUUAAUUCUGACAUAAUAAAGGCAGUUGGUCUUAAGGUAUUUGCAAUGAAUUAAGCAAUCUAUCAUAUGGAACAAAUAACCAAUUCUGGGAUACAGUAAAACAAGAACCACUUCUUGUCAACAUAAGACUUACAAACCAAGUAAGCAUUUUAGAUAUGAAAACAAUAAUAAUUUUGAUAAGGAUUGGUAACCAUAAACAACUGAAGUUGCCUGAUUGACCUUCAAAGUAAAUAAAUAUAUUGAUAUGGUAUGAUCAGGUUCAUAUUUAAGGUUGUUGAUCAGGGUCUAUAAUUUCAACACAAAAAUGUAACUUUUAUUUAAUUUUCAGACAAUUAGACAAAAAUAAAAAUUGUAUAAUGAAAUUAUGUAAUUUGCAGGUGAUUGGAUCAGUUCUUGUUUUGUUAAGAGCAUCUAAUUAAAUGUGAAAAUCACAGUAUAGUCUUUAUUACAAAUUAGACUUUGCUUUUUUUUUUUUUUU
Hypomesus transpacificus is the source of this 1800-nucleotide long non-coding RNA. RefSeq lists it as uncharacterized. The transcript has 2 exons. The record is from RefSeq and is a predicted model, not a curated record. NCBI's taxonomy places the organism in Eukaryota, Metazoa, Chordata, Actinopteri, Osmeriformes, Osmeridae.